CCCGCCUGUUUACCAAAAACAUCGCCUCUUGACUUCCAUAAGAGGUCCAGCCUGCCCAGUGAUACUAUUAAACGGCCGCGGUACCCUAACCGUGCGAAGGUAGCAUAAUAACUUGUUCUUUAAAUGGGGACUAGCAUGAACGGCAUCACGAGGGUCUCACUGUCUCCUUUUUCUAAUCAGUGAAACUGAUCUCCCCGUGAAGAAGCGGGGAUAAAAAUAUAAGACGAGAAGACCCCAUGGAGCUUUAAACCCAAUAGACACCUCUGACUAAUCUAACCCAAAACACUUCUUAAGUUCUGUCUAUUGGUUUUAGGUUGGGGUGACCACGGAGUACAAUAAAUCCUCCAUGACGUACGGGACUUCCCUCUUAUCCUUGAACCACAUUUCUAAGAAUCAACAAAUUGACGUUUGAUGAUCCAAUAUAUUGAUCAACGGACCAAGUUACCCUGGGGAUAACAGCGCAAUCCAUUUUAAGAGCCCCUAUCGCCAAAUGGGUUUACGACCUCGAUGUUGGAUCAGGGUAUCCUAGUGGUGCAGCCGCUACUAAUGGUUUGUUUGUUCAACAAUUAAAACCCUACGUGAUCUGAGUUCAGACCA
Molecule: ribosomal RNA, 597 nt
Filed under: Fejervarya cancrivora (crab-eating frog)
Lineage: Eukaryota; Metazoa; Chordata; Amphibia; Anura; Dicroglossidae
Description: partial 12S ribosomal RNA
Rfam family: Bacterial large subunit ribosomal RNA
Source: RNAcentral